Molecule: small nucleolar RNA, 137 nt
Organism: Ochotona princeps (American pika)
Lineage: Eukaryota; Metazoa; Chordata; Mammalia; Lagomorpha; Ochotonidae
Gene: SNORA74
Rfam family: Small nucleolar RNA SNORA74
About the family: U19 belongs to the H/ACA class of snoRNAs. snoRNAs bind a number of proteins (including dyskerin, Gar1p and Nop10p in the case of the H/ACA class) to form snoRNP complexes. This class are thought to guide the sites of modification of uridines to pseudouridines by forming direct base pairing interactions with substrate RNAs. Targets may include ribosomal and spliceosomal RNAs but the exact functions of many snoRNAs, including U19, are not confirmed.
Source: Ensembl
CCCAGUUGUAGGCAACUGCCUAGGUUGCCUUGUACCUAGGCAAGUGUUACACAUCUGGAAGAAAAACAACCAAUAGCUGGACAUUCUGGGCCUAGUUAAUGCCAAAUUUGUGUUCACUAUACCAGUGUGCAAACAUA